RNAcentral lists this long non-coding RNA (286 nucleotides) under Lathyrus oleraceus (garden pea). RNAcentral's name for it is "Pisum sativum (pea) long non-coding RNA (PSAT_LNC020368)". Lineage: Eukaryota; Viridiplantae; Streptophyta; Magnoliopsida; Fabales; Fabaceae. The record is from RNAcentral.
AUUUUUAUUUUAUUAUUUAUCAUAUUUUCUUUUAUUUUGUUUAUCAUUUAUUUCUUUAAAUCAUGUUAUUUAUUUUAAUUUUUUAAUUUGACUUUUGUUCCUUAUUGUGGCAUUUAAUGAUUGUUGAGGUGAUCAUAUUUUGAACCUCUUGAUUCUUGAGGGAUGGUCCUUAAGAUUGACUCAACCUUCUUUGGUUCAAACGUAUUGAUGAAUGAUCAUUUGAUCGUUCUUGAUACUUUGCACCAGAGAUAGGUUAUCUCUUAUUGGACCAUGAUUCAAGUCUUUG